UUUUAAACCUGAUUGACGCGAAAAUCCUUUUUUGUCACCCUGAGCGGAGUCGAAGGGCAAAAAAGAUUGGAGCAGAAAGCAGGACUAACC
Pedobacter ginsenosidimutans is the source of this 90-nucleotide non-coding RNA. The record is from Rfam. Lineage: Bacteria; Pseudomonadati; Bacteroidota; Sphingobacteriia; Sphingobacteriales; Sphingobacteriaceae.